GGAACUGCCAACUGCUUUCCAAAGCGACAGUGGAGAUUCUGUUUUUUAAGAAUCAGAUCCACGAAUUUUGGAUAUGUCACACGAUUGACUUUUUCUUCCUUUUCAACAGCUACAGAUUUCAAUGAGGACAAUAAAGGAGCAUAAGAUCGAGAGCAGGUUUCACUGAGCACGGCUUCUUCAUCAAAGAAGAUUAUGUCAACAAUAUUUUAUGACUCCUGAUACUGUAACUUGAAAAAGUAAAUAGUGAAAGUACUCCGGAUAUGUUGGAAGUUCUUUUGCAACCUGGAGAAUACCUGAGAAGAGUCACUGCCACUGUGGUACAGAAACUGUAUGCCAAUUCAGUUGGCAUGCAGGGAGUAAUUGAAUUGACCUGGAUAUAUGGAAUCUUGGGUGGAGAGAGUGAAUGAUGAGAAAACUAUGAGAAAAUCUCUUGGGCUUGCUUCAGAGGCUGCUGUGUGCAGAACAGAGAGAGAAGGUGGUAGCUUACUCUGGUCCUCAGGGCAACAGCCAUUGCAUGGAGGAAGAAAAGAGGGGCUGUGGCCAGUCCUGAAUCUGGGAAGGUGUUGUCCAGAAUUCCUGACCACCACAGAACAUCCCUUCCUGAUGUGUGAGGUGGAGCUAUGUGGCCUGAGUUAGGGGCAAUGGUUUCAGAAAGCUGAAGUGGAAACAAUGCUGGAUUGGAAAAAGUCAGAAAACUCUAGAGAAGACUGCAUUUGUGCUCUCUGUGGUCUUCCUGCUGUAAUGUUCCAGGCCAGGAUUGGUUCUUCUGGGUAUAAGUCAUGAGGGGAUUCAACCUGCACCUGGAAAGAAGGUAUCAAGCUAGGGAUGGGGAGAAAUUACCCAGGGCAAUCCAGUGCUGGGGAUUACACAAUGAAAAGUCCCUUAGACAGCAGUGUGGUGGAUACUUCCACCAACAUUCAUUCAGUAAAUAUCUUCUGGUGACCUGGUAUGGAUCUUUUAAUUCUGAGGCAAUCACAGAGAUGGCAGGUCACCAGUAGUUUCUAACUGAAGGUGGUAGUAACUGGCAAUGCAUUGCUUUAGGACUGUAGGCAUUACAGCUAUUUUUUUCAAUAUGAACUUUAUAAUGUAGAACUAAGACCCCAGAAAAACCUCAUAGAUAUAAAAUUUUCCUCUCUAGCUAUUGAUGUCAUUUUAUUUACUUAUUUAUUUUUGUUUGGUUUGAUUUGGUUAUGGGUUAGCAAUCUGAAAGCAGUUACCAUUACUAAUUCUAAAAAUGGAUUCAAAAUAGGAACACUUCCAAAUUAGAAGCAUUUUUUUAAAAGGAGUCUGAAUUCAAAAGUCUGACUUUAUCUUUAUCAAAUGCUUUUGGCAAUGUUGAAGAAAUCUUCUGGGAGAAAUGUAAUAAACAUUUCUUGGAGGGACAGCAUAGAGUGCAAACAUCUCAAACGUGAUUCACUUGCAUUUUCUGAACAAUGCUUUUGCCUACUCUGAGCUGUUGGUUCCAGUAUUUGGAGUUCUCAUGACAGAAAUCCAAAACCACUUCUAGAUUCUUCUCCUCCAUGACCACCCUAAUGUUAUUCAUGCACUUGCUUUGCACAAACACCUCUUUCUGUGAUAAAACCUGGAACCUGAAAUCAAUGAAUACAGACAACACAAUAGCACUUGAACUUCUGACUUUAUUAUUUUUCUUCAAAUGAACAGGUGAUAAAACACUGUGUCCAAAGCAAAAUGCAUGACUCCCUUUUCUCUUCUUUCACAGAGUACCAGAAAAUGUAAACAAUAUUUAGCUUGAACUUCUGAGUCCUCAUCUUUUUUUUAACAGCCUUUAGAACAACAUUAAUUUGUUUGUUUAUACUAGCAUUUUACAACAUAAAAAAUAAAAUAAGCAAACUGUCUGAGGGGUUUAUAUAAGGUUUUCAGAUUCUGAUACAGGCUUGCAUCUGCAUCGUUUUUAGUCUGACAAAGAGAAACACUGCUUUAGGAAGUGGGUCAUGUGGGUGUAUAAGUGGUUCGUGGACAGGCCGGAUAAGCCGUGGUUCUGGUCAGAGUACCACUGAAACACAAAGAAAAAAGCUUGUUUUAUUCCUGCAGUCAUCAAAUGCAUUUAGCUUGGACUUUUUUGUGCUCUCAGGACCUGAUAAUCUUUCUAUUAUGGGGAAACUGUACCUAAGAACACUCAAAUAAGUAAAAUAGCUUACAUGUAAAUAUUUACAGCAGGAAGAGCUUUCGUUAACCUCCACUACUGUUUCACAUGCUUUAAACAUAUUUUAGAUCUCAGUGGCUGAGAUCUCGCAUCAUCCAGCAUCCUGGAAGAUCAGGAUCAGGCAUCAGAGUUGCCAGAAGUGAUGCACUGGGUCUGUUAAUUUUGCUUCUUUGGAGUCUGGUUUCUUCAUUUGAAAAACAAAGGGGUUGGAGUUGAUUUUCCCUAAGAUUCCUUGUAGCUCAAAAAUUCCAUGAGGCUUUCAGCCUGUGAAUCUAAUUCCUCUCUGUUGCAGAAAAUCCACAAUAUAAUGUAUUCAUAUAUAGCCAUAAACACCCUUUAUAGGAGUUAAAAAUAGCAUUUUUAAAAAGUGAAAGAUAGUAUUUUAACUUUAAACUUCACUCUUGGAGAGAUACCACUAAGAUUAUUGCUUUCACUGAAUAAAGGUAUCAGUGGUCACGAUGUAAUAAUAUAUAUUUACUAAGUUGAAUUUACUUUGGGGAUCACAAUAAAAAAGGUCAGAAAAAGCUCACCUCCCUCUUUGUAUAUUUUUAAAAAUUUGAUAUAUAAUAGUUGUGUAUCUUUUUGGGGGUACAGUGAUAUUUUGAUAGCUGAAUACAAUGUGUAAUGAUCAAAUCAAGAUAACUGAAAUACCCAUCACCUCAAACAAAUUUCCUUUUAUGUUGGGAAAAUUAUAAUUAUUCUCUUCCAGCUAUUUUGAAUUAUACAAUCAAUUAUCAUUGACCAUAAUUUCCCUACUGUACUUUCAAAUACUAGAACUUAUUUUUUUCUGUCUUUUGUACCCCUUAACCAACUUCUUCUUAUACCCCCUCCCCCAUUUCUUUCCCAGUCAGUACAUUUUUUAAAAACAAAUGUUGAAAAGAUGGGGGUCUCCUUUUCGGGGUUCUUGUUCAACUUAAGCAAUUGAGGGAGCAUUUGUGAGAGGAAAAGGUAGCUACCAAGAAUGCUGCCCCGCCCCCAACUUUGGCUUUCACUUUAUUUUCUUUUCUGGUUCAAUUUCUCAUUCCUCAAGCAACCUGGAUUUUACAUUUAGCUAAUUCAUUCAUUCACUCAGUAAGAAGCUGAGCAUCUGUGAUAAGCCAGGUGUAUGCCAGGGGAUGAGAAUACAUAGGUGAAAAGUUCUCUAACCACAAAUGGAGCCAUAUGAUUUCAGGGAGCCUUGGAGGUUUGUGAUGACAUUCUGCAACUGCUUCUUACUGAACAAACAGAAUCUUCUAGCUGUUUAAGGAUGCUCAGGUUUUGCAGGGACUCUAAGCAUAUAAUUGCACUUAUUCACAUAGGAUUUCAGAACUACUGGAUGUUUGAACUAGAAGAUCAUUUAAUCUUGUGAACUCCUUUAUUUUACAUGACUCAACUGGGAACACGAGAGGUGAUCUGGUUUGCCUCGGGUCCUUCAGUAGUUAAAGAAAGAUCCAAGAUUCAUUUGCUAAUGUUCUGCCUACUCUAUCCUGCAGCCUCUUUGUCAGAUUUUACUUUAAAAGUUAAAAAAAAUAAAAAUAUGAACCCCUCCUUUUAGCUUGAGGGUCUAAGGCCAUGAACAUGAGUAAAACAAAAUUAUGUACCAUUGCCUGGAAAUCCACUUGUGCAUUAACCAGAGCUUUAGCAAUCUGUGCUGAGUUUUGAAAGUGCACAUUAUCUGCAACAAAGAGAGAGAGAGUUAAAGUGCUGCUAAAUACCAGAAAGCAUAGAGUGACAAUGUACUGCCUGGAAAUGAACACCAACAAUUAUCUAGUCAUGCAUUUGACAUUGUCAGCAGUGAGUAAUCACACUCAGAUAUGGAAAUGUCCCUGACUCUUAGGUACUGACCCUGAGCAUAGGCAUAGGAGGAUGCUUAAUGUUUCUUAAACAAAGUGAUGCUGGCUCAGUAUUUUUAUGUGUAAGAGUCUUGCUUAAACCUCACCAUCUGCUGUUCCGUGGAUGAGAAGAUAGUCUACAUUUCUGAAAUAUUCUGCUCUUGCCAUCACAGUUGAAUUCU
RNAcentral lists this long non-coding RNA (4157 nucleotides) under Homo sapiens (human). RNAcentral describes it as "PREDICTED lncRNA (TCONS_00152181)". The record is from RNAcentral. Lineage: Eukaryota; Metazoa; Chordata; Mammalia; Primates; Hominidae.